AUUGAACGCUGGCGGAAUGCUUUACACAUGCAAGUCGAACGGCAGCACGGGGGCAACCCUGGUGGCGAGUGGCGAACGGGUGAGUAAUACAUCGGAACGUGCCCAGUCGUGGGGGAUAACGUAGCGAAAGCUACGCUAAUACCGCAUACGAUCUCUGGAUGAAAGCGGGGGACCGCAAGGCCUCGCGCGAUUGGAGCGGCCGAUGGCAGAUUAGGUAGUUGGUGGGGUAAAGGCUCACCAAGCCGACGAUCUGUAGCUGGUCUGAGAGGACGACCAGCCACACUGGGACUGAGACACGGCCCAGACUCCUACGGAGGCAGCAGUGGGGAAUUUUGGGACAAUGGGCGAAAGCCUGAUCCAGCCAUUCCGCGUGCAGGAUGAAGGCCCUCGGGUGUAAACUGCUUUUGUACGGACGAAACGGUCCUGGUUAAUACCUGGGGCUAAUGACGGUACCGUAAGAAUAAGCACCGGCUAACUACGUGCCAGCAGCC
Molecule: ribosomal RNA, 491 nt
Filed under: uncultured bacterium
Lineage: Bacteria
Description: bacterial SSU rRNA
Rfam family: Bacterial small subunit ribosomal RNA
Source: RNAcentral